This 922-nucleotide long non-coding RNA is filed under the name Canis lupus dingo (dingo). Its description in RNAcentral is "lncRNA (ENSCAFG00020005838.1)". Lineage: Eukaryota; Metazoa; Chordata; Mammalia; Carnivora; Canidae. The record is from RNAcentral.
CCCCCCAAUAUCCUGAUGGUACAUCCUGCUCGGGAAGACAUUAAAAUCUGCGAUUUUGGCUUUGCCCAAAACAUCACCCCAGGAGAGCCACAGUACAGCAAGUAUGGCUCCCCAGAAUUUGUGUCUCCCGAGAUCAUCGAGCAGACCCCAGUGAGCGAGGCCUCCGACAUCUGGUGAGUGAGUGGGUGCCUGGGGAGGCCAGCUUCCAUGCCAGCAGCCCCCCAGCACACACACCCCACAACCUCGAGCACACCCUGUGACUGUGGUUUUGUUCCUGCAGGUCCAUGGGCGUCAUCUCCUACCUCAGCCUGACCUGCUCAUCACCAUUCGCUGGUGAGAGUGACCGAGCCACACUCCUGAACGUGCUGGAGGGGCGGGUGUCCUGGAACAGCCCCAUGACUGCCCACCUCAGCAAGGAUGCCCAGGACUUCAUCAAGGCUACCCUGCAAAGGGCCCCAAAGUGAGUGCACAGCACCCUCCACCUGUUGCCUCAUCUGGGGUUCUCUUAGGCGGAGGCCUGGGGCAGCUGGCCACCUGGCCUGAUCCCCGGCCCUCCUCUCUCACUAGGGCCCGGCCCAGCGCAGCCAAAUGCCUCACACACCCCUGGUUCCAGACUUCCGUGCCCGCGGAGGAGGCCCACUUCAUCAACACCAAGCAACUCAAGUUUCUGCUGGCCCGCAGCCGCUGGCAGCGCUCCCUGAUGAGCUACAAGUCCAUCCUGGUGAUGCGCUCCAUCCCCGAGCUGCUCCGGGGCCCGCCCGACAGCCCGUCCCUCGGGGUGGCGCGGCACCUGCGCGGUGGCGCCAGCGCCUCCUCCAGCAGCUCGUCCUCCUCCUCCGACAACGAGCUGGCCCCUUUCGCCCGGGCCAAGUCGCUGCCGCCGUCUCCGGUGACCCACUCGCCGCUGCUGCACCCGCGGGGC